This 254-nucleotide ribosomal RNA is filed under the name uncultured bacterium. RNAcentral's name for it is "partial 16S ribosomal RNA". It matches the Rfam family "Bacterial small subunit ribosomal RNA", at positions 524 to 776 of the family's 1533-position model. The record is from RNAcentral.
UACGGAGGGUGCAAGCGUUAUCCGGAUUUACUGGGUUUAAAGCGCGUGUAGGCGGGGUGGCACGUCCGUCGCUGAAAUCCCCCGGCUCAACCGGGGAACGGGCGCGGAUACGACCAUCCUCGAGGGACGUAGGGGGACCUGGAACUUCCGGUGGAGCGGUGAAAUGCGUUGAGAUCGGAAGGAACGCCCGUGGCGAAAGCGAGGUCCUGGACGUCUGCUGACGCUGAGACGCGAAAGCCAGGGGAGCGAACGGG